AAGAGUGAACUAGCUAACUGAAAUCACAUGAGUCAUGCUAUAUGCUGGUGAUUGUGAUAACGUAAGGGAAAAAAAUGAUGUUACCUUACUAUUAGUGUUGUCCAAAACUGGUGCCAGAAGACUCGGUAAGGCCAGAGACGCAAACGUUAGUCGUCCUAAUCAGGCGUAAAGGGUUUGUAGGCUGCUUUAAAAGUUUUUAUAUUUAAAUAGCUCUGUAUGGCGGCUACGCCGCCGCCGCCGCGCCCGGCGCGAAGCGCCGGGGCGUGCGCGUAUUUUAAUUGGCGGGUUAGCCGCCAUUACAGUAAAGAAAAAAUGAAUUAAAGCUAGAAUCAAAUUGGGGAUAAACCAAAUAAUACUUAGAGUAGGGAUGAAAUCCGUAGAUACUAAGGGGAAUACUAAGGGUGAAAGCUUUUUAUCUACUAUUGAUUGACGCUGAGAAACGAAGGUGAGAAUAGGAAAUAGGAUUAGAUACCCAGAUACCUCUCACUGUCAACGAUGAAUGGUGGUUGUUAGUUUUAAUAAAAACUAGUAACGAUGUUAACACGAUAACCAUUCCGCCUUGCGAGUACGGUUGCAAAACUGAAACCAAAAAAAUUAGUCGGUCUCGAAGCAAACGAAGUGAAGCAUGUUAUUUAAUU
Molecule: ribosomal RNA, 638 nt
Filed under: Pluteus cervinus
Lineage: Eukaryota; Fungi; Basidiomycota; Agaricomycetes; Agaricales; Pluteaceae
Description: SSU rRNA
Rfam family: Bacterial small subunit ribosomal RNA
Source: RNAcentral